GGAAAUCAACACUGUAUACAUAAAGAAUGUGUGUGUUGCAAGUCACAUACAUGGAGAGAGAGAUUAUUUCUUGUAAUAUCUUCUUUAGGAAGACUGAUCUUAAAUUUUUUCUCUUAGCAGUUUGGCAGAGUCUGGUUCAUCUCCUGAUUCGGCAGUUUGGCCUGAGGAUUAUAGUUUAUUCUUCAAGCAAAGGACAAACUAUAAUCCCCAGGCCAAACUGUCUAUUGUGACCCAUUGUUACUGCUUCAUAUCUGCCAUUCAAUCUUCCUCUUCUCUCCUCUGCUCACUGACUCAACCUUCUUUUGUUUUGUAUUUCUUCUAACCUUAUGACAUGAAGUUGUGGAAGUUAACUUCUAUUCCCACAGAUUUUAGUCGAUGAUUACAUCAAUUUCCUUAAGUUUAGAUUAUACAGUUUUUAAUUAUUUUUAAGAUUUAAUUGUACAUAA
Molecule: long non-coding RNA, 446 nt
Filed under: Androctonus crassicauda
Lineage: Eukaryota; Metazoa; Arthropoda; Arachnida; Scorpiones; Buthidae
Source: RNAcentral